GAAAUGCGAUAAGUAGUGUGAAUUGCAGAAUUCAGUGAAUCAUCGAAUCUUUGAACGCACAUUGCGCCCUUUGGUAUUCCUUAGGGCAUGCCUGUUCGAGCGUCAUUUAAACCUUCAAGCUCAGCUUGGUGAUGGGUGACUGUCCUCCCCUCGCGGGGGGGGACUCGCCUCAAAAACAUUGGCGGCCGGUACAUUGGCUUCGAGCGCAGCAGAAACGCGGUCUCGAGUCCGGUGGAUCGGCUCCCAUAAGCCUUCUUUUUUAUUUUGACCUCGGAUCAGGUAGGGAUACCCGCUGAACUUAAGC
Molecule: unclassified non-coding RNA, 304 nt
Filed under: plant metagenome
Description: partial contains 5.8S ribosomal RNA, internal transcribed spacer 2, and large subunit ribosomal RNA
Rfam family: 5.8S ribosomal RNA (bases 1-105)
Source: RNAcentral